Molecule: small RNA, 2243 nt
Filed under: Rattus norvegicus (Norway rat)
Lineage: Eukaryota; Metazoa; Chordata; Mammalia; Rodentia; Muridae
Description: uncharacterized LOC102553524
Source: RNAcentral
UGGAAGUAAAGACAAGGCUAAAACUCACACCCAAAAGAAGUGAUGGCUGCUUCAUGCAAAUGAUUUCCAGUUAGUUAUUAGAAAGGGCACAGAACUCCACUGUAAGCUAGGGCAGUUAUGGGGGGGAAGGGAGGAAAAGGAAGGGGAGAGGGGUCGUUAUCCUAAAUCUUUUAUUGACCGGUUUCUUUGAUCCUAGUGUGUCUUUAUUAUUUAGAAAAAAAAUUAAAAAGUGACCCAGAGCUCCACCCAUUUGCACCUAAAUCCUGGAAUAGGUGAUGACCCCUCACAGCCUGGCUCAGCACAUGCCCCAAACUAAAACAAACAAACUCAUUUGCCAUACAAAUUGUUUACGAUUCAUUAAAAAGCAAAAUCGCAUAACCCAGAGCUGGCAGCUGAGGGAGUCUCCAUGGGCGGAGGGGGCAUUCACUGAGUUGCCUUUGUAUGCUGGGAGGACCAAGCCGGAGGUUCCCACUAUGAGCCGGGAGUCUGAGCAACCAGAUGACACAGGAGCUGUCAUUCCUGUGAGCUGAGCUGGCCUGGGACUGGAGCUAACACCUGUGUGAGAGCAACACUGAAAACUCUUCCUGAGUUUUGUUUGGAAGAUGAGCAACCGUGCGGUUCCCAAGUUCCCACUGGUGAUAUUCUACAUUUCUGUACCGAGAGGCCUUCAACUUUGUUUCCAGGACCCUUGGAAAUGUGAAACUCGACAAGAGCACGUGACUUGAACGCAGUAUGUAAUAACAGCUAACGUUUAUCCAGUGUUUCCUCUCAGCCAGGCGAUGUUCCAAGAGCCUUAAGUAUUUUUUUUCCAGCCAGCUGCCACCCAAGAUUGGGCUAAACCCUCGGCCCUUUGUUAAAAUGAGAAGAAAAAAAAAGGAAAGAAAGAAAGAAAAAAAAAGAGAACACAUGCAACGCAAGCUUCUAAUAAGUAUAUUCACAACUUCGAUGCAAGGCGCUUAAGAAAACUAAAAGAAAACGGAGACCAUCGCAGGAAUCCACAGCUGGACACGAUGCAGGCAUCGACAGAUCUCGGGCAGCUCUACCCCAGUGGCUUCCUCUGCAUCACAUUUACAGCUCUGCAAAAAUCACAGAAGAGGGGAUAGGAAGACUGUAAGAGCGAAACACAAGGAGUUUGGCUGUGAAACAGUCUUUCCUAGAAAUGUCUGCAUAAACGAAAUCUGAACAGUGGCAAUCUCAGCAGUAUAUUGACGUGGAAGAGAAAACCAAACCUCACAGGAUCACAUCCGUGGAUAAGACAACUGAUGACUGCUGGGAAUGAGAGAGUUAUCCUCUAUCAGGGAUGAGCUCUCUGAUCAGCUAUCCAAUACAAACAGUAUCCCUGAAACUGUACCUACACAAACUACAGAACGGACCCAGCAGGUUGUAUUUAUAGAUUUGUGCAAAAAAACCCAUGUAGCAAUAAUAAUGUCACAAGAAGAGGCUAUCAGUCUGAACGUUGUGGCAACUUGGGAGUAGUUAGAGGGAUGAAACAGAGGGGGGAGUGUUAUAAUUAUGUUUUAAUUAAAAUAUAUAAAAAUGUAAAGGAAAACCCUCAAUGAAUUUUGUUUUAUGAGUAGGGCAGAAUUUUUCAUAAUUUCUGAAAUGGAUGUAAACAUACUCCUGCACUUUAUACUAUGUAUUUAUGAAGAACGGUGUUCUCAGAAUUGAUGUAUAAAAAUAAAUAUUGAACCAUUUCGACAAACAUUCAAGAUGUUCUGUGUCCUGUAAUAUCAAACAAUCAGUCAGGAUUCAGGUCCUUAUGUGAACAUUAACAAGCAUGCGCAUGUUAUUAGUAAGUUUUUAAUACACGGUAAAAUGAUAUGUAUAGCAGACAAUUGCCUUAAGUGGUUUUGUAAUAUGGAGUCAGUGAAUAUAUACCUAUUUUCUAGACCUUUACCUCAAUAGUCGUGCAAAACUUUUCAGGUGUAAAGUGGGUGGGGCUGUGAAGUUUAGGAAGCCUUGCUCUUGACUAUCUAUAUGGACAUAAUUAGUAUUUGGGGGUAUAGGUGCUAUUUAUUCCUCAUCUAGCAGGUUUUAAGCUUGUUUUGAAUCAUGUAUGGAUUAGCAUAAACUUAGUGUUACAUUUUUAAGCUCACAGUAUUCUUACACGGUCAUGUUGAAUAAUGUAAGCUUAGGUCCUCGUAUUUCAUUCUCACUAGUCUCAAGGUAUUUUCCAUUUUUUUUUCAUUUAUUCUCUGGCCCAUUGACUACACAAGAGUAAAUUAUUUGAUUUUCGCAUUUAA